GUGGGGAAUAUUGCGCAAUGGGGGAAACCCUGACGCAGCAACGCCGCGUGGAGGAUGAAGGUUUUCGGAUUGUAAACUCCUUUGAUCGGGGACGAAGAAAUGACGGUACCCGAAAAACAAGCCACGGCUAACUACGUGCCAGCAGCCGCGGUAAUACGUAGGUGGCGAGCGUUGUCCGGAAUUACUGGGUGUAAAGGGCGUGUAGGCGGGAUUGUAAGUCAGAUGUGAAAUUCCAAGGCUCAACUUUGGAGCUGCAUCUGAAACUGUGAUUCUUGAGUGCUGGAGAGGAUAGUGGAAUUCCUAGUGUAGCGGUGAAAUGCGUAGAUAUUAGGAGGAACACCAGUGGCGAAGGCGGCUAUCUGGACAGUAACUGACGCUGAGGCGCGAAAGCGUGGGGAGCAAACAGGAUUAGAAACCCCGGUAGUCC
Molecule: ribosomal RNA, 427 nt
Filed under: uncultured bacterium
Lineage: Bacteria
Description: bacterial SSU rRNA
Rfam family: Bacterial small subunit ribosomal RNA
Source: RNAcentral